Molecule: ribosomal RNA, 253 nt
Filed under: uncultured bacterium
Lineage: Bacteria
Description: partial 16S ribosomal RNA
Rfam family: Bacterial small subunit ribosomal RNA
Source: RNAcentral
UACGUAGGGGGCUAGCGUUGUCCGGAAUCAUUGGGCGUAAAGCGCGCGUAGGCGGCCCGGUAAGUCCGCUGUAAAAGUCAAAGGCUCAACCUUUGAAUGUCAGUGGAUACUGCCGGGCUAGAGUCCGGAAGAGGCGAGUGGAAUUCCUGGUGUAGCGGUGGAAUGCGCAGAUAUCAGGAGGAACACCAAUAGCGAAGGCAGCUCGCUGGGACGUUACUGACACUGAGGCGCGAAAGCGUGGGGAGCGAACAGG